RNAcentral lists this long non-coding RNA (238 nucleotides) under Anser brachyrhynchus (Pink-footed goose). Its description in RNAcentral is "lncRNA (ENSABRG00000002802.1)". The record is from RNAcentral. Lineage: Eukaryota; Metazoa; Chordata; Aves; Anseriformes; Anatidae.
CAGCAACAAAGGGUGCCGGGAGGUGACCUCUAUAUUUGCACCUUCAGCUGGCAGCUGCAAUUAUUACAGAAGGAAGCAACAUGGGUAUGCUUUUGCUUUUCUAGCAGUGGACAGUCCCAUCAAUGACUAACUCUGCUAUGUUGGACAGCCUGCAGGACGCAAAAUGAAUGUAGCGCGGACAGAGAAGCAUGGAGGAGCAACAGGGUGCACACAGGAAAUCUUCAGCUGUCUGGGUUCC